Molecule: ribosomal RNA, 491 nt
Filed under: uncultured bacterium
Lineage: Bacteria
Description: partial 16S ribosomal RNA
Rfam family: Bacterial small subunit ribosomal RNA
Source: RNAcentral
GUGAACGCUGGCGGUAGGCCUAACACAUGCACGUCGAACGGCAGCACAGUAAGAGCUUGCUCUUACGGGUGGCGAGUGGCGGACGGGUGAGGAAUACAUCGGAAUCUACUUUUUCGUGGGGGAUAACGUAGGGAAACUUACGCUAAUACCGCAUACGACCUACGGGUGAAAGCAGGGGAUCUUCGGACCUUGCGCGAUUGAAUGAGCCGAUGUCGGAUUAGCUAGUUGGCGGGGUAAAGGCCCACCAAGGCGACGAUCCGUAGCUGGUCUGAGAGGAUGAUCAGCCACACUGGAACUGAGACACGGUCCAGACUCCUACGGGAGGCAGCAGUGGGGAAUAUUGGACAAUGGGCGCAAGCCUGAUCCAGCCAUACCGCGUGGGUGAAGAAGGCCUUCGGGUUGUAAAGCCCUUUUGUUGGGAAAGAAAAGCAGCAGGUUAAUACCCCGCUGCUCUGACGGUACCCAAAGAAUAAGCACCGGCUAACUUCGUG